Molecule: ribosomal RNA, 248 nt
Filed under: uncultured bacterium
Lineage: Bacteria
Description: partial 16S ribosomal RNA
Rfam family: Bacterial small subunit ribosomal RNA
Source: RNAcentral
GCAAGUCGGACGAGAAAGCUCCUUCGGGGGUGAGUAAAGUGGCGCACGGGUGAGUAACGCGUAGGCAACCUGCCCCUAGAUUUGGGAUAACCUCGGGAAACCGAAGCUAAUACCGAAUAACAUCUUUUAACCGCAUGGUUGAAAGAUCAAAACUCCGGUGUCUAGGGAUGGGCCUGCGUAAGAUUAGGUAGUUGGUGAGGUAACAGCUCACCAAGCCGACGAUCUUUAGCUGGUCUGAGAGGAUGAUC